UGCCUCGUAGCUCAAUCAGUCAGAGCAUUCGCCUUUGAAGCGAAGGGUUGGCGGUGCGACUCCGCCCGAGGCUGCCA
This 77-nucleotide transfer RNA is filed under the name Prosthecobacter gellanilyticus. Its description in RNAcentral is "tRNA-Gln". It matches the Rfam family "tRNA". Rfam says of the family: Transfer RNA (tRNA) molecules are approximately 80 nucleotides in length. Their secondary structure includes four short double-helical elements and three loops (D, anti-codon, and T loops). Further hydrogen bonds mediate the characteristic L-shaped molecular structure. tRNAs have two regions of fundamental functional importance: the anti-codon, which is responsible for specific mRNA codon recognition, and the 3' end, to which the tRNAs corresponding amino acid is attached (by aminoacyl-tRNA synthetases). tRNAs cope with the degeneracy of the genetic code in two manners: having more than one tRNA (with a specific anti-codon) for a particular amino acid; and 'wobble' base-pairing, i.e. permitting non-standard base-pairing at the 3rd anti-codon position. The record is from RNAcentral. Lineage: Bacteria; Pseudomonadati; Verrucomicrobiota; Verrucomicrobiia; Verrucomicrobiales; Verrucomicrobiaceae.